Molecule: ribosomal RNA, 492 nt
Filed under: uncultured bacterium
Lineage: Bacteria
Description: partial 16S ribosomal RNA
Rfam family: Bacterial small subunit ribosomal RNA
Source: RNAcentral
AGUGUACGCUGGCGGUAGGCCUAACACAUGCAAGUCGAACGGCAGCACAGUAAGAGCUUGCUCUUACGGGUGGCGAGUGGCGGACGGGUGAGGAAUACAUCGGAAUCUACUUUUUCGUGGGGGAUAACGUAGGGAAACUUACGCUAAUACCGCAUACGACCUACGGGUGAAAGCAGGGGAUCUUCGGACCUUGCGCGAUUGAAUGAGCCGAUGUCGGAUUAGCUAGUUGGCGGGGUAAAGGCCCACCAAGGCGACGAUCCGUAGCUGGUCUGAGAGGAUGAUCAGCCACACUGGAACUGAGACACGGUCCAGACUCCUACGGGAGGCAGCAGUGGGGAAUAUUGGACAAAGGGCGCAAGCCUGAUCCAGCCAUACCGCGUGGGUGAAGAAGGCCUUCGGGUUGUAAAGCCCUUUUGUUGGGAAAGAAAAGCAGCAGGUUAAUACCCCGCUGUUCUGACGGUACCAAAAGAAUAAGCACCGGCUAACUUCGUG